RNAcentral lists this long non-coding RNA (1019 nucleotides) under Parus major (Great Tit). Its description in RNAcentral is "lncRNA (ENSPMJG00000018691.1)". The record is from RNAcentral. Lineage: Eukaryota; Metazoa; Chordata; Aves; Passeriformes; Paridae.
CGGCCCGAGCCCGGUGCGCGGCCCCUCAGCGGCCCCUCAGCGCCGCCAUUACCGGCCCGCAACUGACACGGAGCGGCGGCGGCGGCGGCGCACAGGAAACUCUCGCGAGAACCGGCUCGCCGCCGACCUUCCCAGCAUGGCGCCGUCCCGCCGGGCCCCCUCGGCGCCGGCCGCCAUCUUGGGUGUGGCACGGCAGCCCUGCCCUCCCUCAGCCUCGGGAGAGCCUGGUCCUCCAAUAUUUCCCUCGAAGCUUUUCUUUUUCUCCUCACAGUUCUACAAGCUCGACCUGCCGGAUGAGGAGAAAAAAAAUGCCUGAGCAUGGAAAGACAAGCACAAGUCCAGUGGGAAAGAGUGGUAAGCAGUACCAAAUUCCCUCCUGAGUCCUCGAAGAGCAAACUUGUUGCUCCCAAAUGCAGGAGACUGUAAAUAAUAAUAAUAGUAAUAAUAAUAAUAAUAAUAAUAAUAAUAAUAAUAGCAAUUUCAGUCAAUGAAAACAAUAUUACUGCAAUGUAUGGGAGCCCUGAUUGCAGACUAGGGCAAAUUAAAUUUUUACAUUCCCCAUCAUUGCAUAGUGUUUGCUUAAAAUUACUGCUUAAUAUUGCUGGAUUGGCAGCCUAUUUAAAUUAUUCAGCACUUUCGUAAUGUACUGCCUCUUUAAUUAUGCUUUUAAACAGAGUUUCUCUUUUCUGCUUGGAAGCAGUUAGUCUAGUUUCACGCUCCUCCUUCUCCAGGCAAACCAGGCAUCACUUUAGGAUUUUCUCAAACAUGGAAAUUAUUUAGUCUCAGCCGAAUAUAAAUUAAAAGGUUUGUAUUCUGGUCUUGCUCGUGUUUGUUCUCUGCCAGUGGAACCUAACUGAAACACUUUAGAUUACACUUUCAAAGAUUCCCUUUGCAGUGAGUUGGAAAGCUCUGAUGGGCAAACGUCCUCCGCGAGACUAGAAGGAGAUUCUUGUGGAAAACUCAAUCAAUCACCUUGUGAAAUUCUCAGCGAUCAGAAAUAAAGAAACCGUUUACCUGCA